This 69-nucleotide transfer RNA is filed under the name Ictidomys tridecemlineatus (thirteen-lined ground squirrel). RNAcentral's name for it is "Spermophilus tridecemlineatus (thirteen-lined ground squirrel) tRNA". It matches the Rfam family "tRNA". From Rfam's summary of the family: Transfer RNA (tRNA) molecules are approximately 80 nucleotides in length. Their secondary structure includes four short double-helical elements and three loops (D, anti-codon, and T loops). Lineage: Eukaryota; Metazoa; Chordata; Mammalia; Rodentia; Sciuridae. The record is from Rfam by way of RNAcentral. RNAcentral also lists the same sequence under 1 other name.
GGGGUUGUAGCUCAGUGGUAGAGCACUUACCUGGCAAGUGGAAAGCAGAGGGUUCAAUUCUCAGCACCG